Long non-coding RNA from Symphalangus syndactylus (siamang), 3975 nucleotides. RefSeq lists it as uncharacterized. The record is from RefSeq and is a predicted model, not a curated record. NCBI's taxonomy places the organism in Eukaryota, Metazoa, Chordata, Mammalia, Primates, Hylobatidae.
GAAAUGAUGAAGCAGUGUCCCAAGGGACAACGUGGGAUCAAGAACACAGGAGACAGGCCUCCUCCAUUCCAAAGUUGCUCAUCCUAAAACCUGAAAAAAAAAUGACUCAGAAGUCGUUCCCAUCUCAAGAACUACCCACGAGUCUCAGCAGACACAUUCCCCGAUGUGGCUUUCCAAUCCAGCAGAGGUUCCAACCAACUUCCAAACAGGUGCAACUUGAUAGCACCUCAUCUUUGGCUGUACCAGAUGCCUUCUAUCUCUGGACUCCUGCCCUCAGACUUCUCCGACACCUGAAGGAAGCUUCUGGGACAGCUGACAUGCACAACCUGGGAGCUAAAACAUGUGGGACCAGCUGUGACCAAUGAACAAUGAUGGACAGGAGACGAUAACCCCACUAGUUCCUUACAGUGCUGAGAUAAAUUUCAUGAGUCUCCUAGAAGAUCUGAUGGGAUCGAACAUCAGUUGUCCCUAGAAUGACCGCUGUACUGGCUUUCCUUCCUUCCCUAUUUCAUCCCCCCUCGUCCCUCCUACACCUUGGGAUCACAUUGACAAAUAAGUCUCUUUCAUGCAAUUCCCUAUUUCAAGCUCUAUAUUCAGUUAGCAGACGGCAGAAAUGUGGUCCAAAGCAGGAGAGGACUCAGCAGCAGCAGGCUGUGACAAUCUGCCUUGUCACUCAAGCCAUGUGAAUGAGAAGAUCCAGUGGUGGCUGGUUGAAUGCAUGACUCCCCUGUGGAUGUCAGCCAGAGUCUUCUUCUCAGACACCCAGUGCUAGCACAAUGGCCCCAUGGAUGAGAUGGCUCAGGUGGCAGGAUAAAGGCUGUAUGUGGGCUCGGCAUUGUGGGCUUUCUCUUAGCAAUGACCUAGCUAUUACCACUGCUGAAUGGUCCAGCCAACCAAUAGCAGAGGGACAUGCCAAUCUCUAUAGCACCUUCACCAAUAUCAGCCAGGCCCUUGGGGAAAGGCUGAUCAUAACAGACCACUUCCACCCCAAAAAGGAGAGGGGAGAUAGAAAUUCAUGCUUACAUAAAUUGACAUGUACUCCAGUUUUGGGUUUGCUUUCUCUGCCUUUAGGGUCUCUGCAAGUGCCACUAUUUGAGAACAUAAGAAUGCCUAAUCUACCAGUGUAGUAUCCCACACAACAUUGCUUCAGACCCAGGGAUUGAUAUAUGUCAAAGGAGGUGCAGCAAUGAGUGUAUGAGUAGGGACUCCAUGAGUUUUCUCAUAUACCUCCUCAUUCACAAGCAUCCAGCUUAACUGAAGACUGGAUUGGCCUGUUAAAGGCUUAGUUAGGAGACUAGCCUGAGAAACACAAUCUGCGAUUCCAGUAUCACCUUGAUUCACGCCCCAGCCCUGGAAUUUCUGCAAGGAAGCUUGGUUUUUUGGUUUUGUUUUCGAGGGGUUUUUUAGUGAAGAAUGGUGUCAAAAUCUGCGUACCAGGUGUUCUCAUUGUUAUUGGGAUAUCAUUUCUUCUUGGUCCUUUUAACAGGCAGAGCUAGGAAAUAUAUGACUGUAUGUAUACCUAUACAUAUAUAUGUCUUCACACAUAUUUAUAAAUAUACAUAUACAUACAUCUGCACAUAAACACACAUAUAUGCAUUCACUCUUGCAUAUUUUAGAAAUCAUAAAUUCAAUUCACACCAAUAUGCCAAUUCCAGUCCACUCCAUAGGGCUAUUUCUGCCUUUUCUCAUUUGUUCAACCUUAUUACACACCUAAAAAGGGUUUCGAGAUUGCUUCAUCCAUACUACUGCAUGGUUCUCAUCUUAAGAGUGAUGAAACGUUGCUCCAAAGCUACCCGGCAGGAUUACACUCCUCUUAUUUGUGAGAAAUGUAUCACAUACCCAUGGCUGAACCAGUCUCUAGCAAAGGAGACAGGGGACCAUCAUGAUUGGUUUAGACCCAUCAUUCUCCGCCAUCCCCACCACCCCUGGGACCAGACGCCAGGGCCCCCUCUCAAACACACCAUCCCAUGGAGGAGGGUGAGCCGCCUGAAGAUAAUAAGGUUUCUCAUAGGAAGAAGGAAUGCAGGCUACAGAACAUGGUUAUGGGAAAGGCAACAAACUAUCUCCUAUAUUAACCCACAAUCCAGAGUGGAAUAGGCAACAUAAAACUUCUGAAAUUAUAUAUAAAAUGUUCUUUGCGUGUACACACGUGAGAGGAGAAAAUCCUCAGUCAUCAUUUUCUCAGAGGGCUCAGUGACCCAAGAAAAGUUUAGAACCAUUUUCAUUUUAAACAAACACAGAUUUCAAUCUUAAGUUGAACAAGAACAAGAGGUUUCCAGGAACUUAAACCCUAAUUCAGAAAAUACAAGUGUUUUCGCAAUCUCAUUUAUUACACUCUGCUUCGAGGGCAGGAAUCAGAAGACUGCACAGGCUUUGUCAAAAUACAAAUGUUUGUCUCAAUUUCAGUCCUCUUUGAGCUUGUUCCUAGAGCCUGACUUUUCAGGCUUCUAAGGCAAUUAAGGGGCACUGAAUCCUCAGCGAAUUAGACAUGCUGCCUUUUAAAUUCUCAUUCUUCUAAAGAAAAAAGGGGAUGGAGCAGGAGUCCCUGAAGGAAUAAAGGAAACAGAAGUGCAAACUGCCAUAAAGAAGAAGUGAAUCCAUGGCUUAGGAGCUAAAGAGCAAAUGUCAAGGCAGCUUGUCAGUUUCAAUGUGCCCUUGGGAUUUCAUCCCGUUGGCCCCAAAUGCAGCAUUCAGGGUCCUAGAAGUAUUACCACCAUCUGGAACAGCUGUGGUCAUAGAAAGAGAUCAACUUGUCCAGAGCUUUAAUCCUCUAGGGCUUCUUCAACAGUUCUAUUUAAUCUAUCUGAAAAGGCUUAGUACAAAAGCAUCUACUGCAGCCAUUAUGCAGGGUAAGAAGGAGAGAGGGAGCAUUAAAAAGCAUGUGCUUUUGGGUGUGGCUCUUACAUUUUUGCCAGGCAGACAACUGCUGUUCGGGCAGAGAUGAAUGCAUGGAAUCUAGAAGAUUUUACUCAGCCACCUCAGUCAAAAAGUGGCCCUAUAAAACGAUCAUCCAAAUGAAAGACUUUUGAGAGUAAAAGAGGAUACUAUUAAAGAUUAAACCAAGACAAAAGCCACGAAGCAGGGCAGUCUCAGCCAACCUAUGACAUCCUCAUCAAUCAGUACUUUAUAUUACUCUCCUCUGCUCUGGUCUCUGUCAUUGACUCAGCACUUUGCAUAUGCCCAACAUUGUGUUAGUAUCAUAGAGAAUAUGCAAAAUUAAUUAAAAUGAAAUAGCAUACCAUAAAUACCGUAACACACCAAAACAUGUAGUCCUUGCCCAUACGGAGCCAGCUCUUCACAUUAACAUUACUCUGGCCGCCUUGAGCAAUAGCCAUUUGGCUAGCCCUAAAAUUAAAAUUAACUGAUGUUUACUCUGAGCUAAGGCAUUAGGAGCAUUUAUUUGCAUGCUUUGGUUUUUAAAUCUUUGAUUCAGAAUAUGUCCAAGUGACUCAUUAGUCUAUUUUGGUCUUGGGCAUUAAGCUGCAUUCAGAAAGUCUGGCUUACGAUCACACAUACCAGGGUAGAGGGAGGCUCUCCUAAGAAACCACUGGAACAUCUGACAGAGGUGAUGAAACCAAACAGAUCUGAUCAAUAACACCUUGAAAAUAGAUAUAUUGAACGCUGAACAUAUUUUUACAUUUUAAGUCAACUCCAAAGUGUCUCCUGGAUCAAUAAUCAUUGAUGUACAUUAACUGCCAUUCUCUAGUCCUCUUAGCUAAAAACAUUUCAAACCUAGGACUCCCAAUUUCUUGCACUUUUCAACACUGGAGGGGGACAAAAGUAAUUUUACCACUGAUGCUUAAAAAAAAAUGUACUUUUAAAAAUAAAUACCAUAAUUUCCUAAGUUCAAAAAGAAGAUAUUUAUCAUAAAAUUUAGAAAAUAAAGAAAGGUAUAAGGAAGAAAGCUGAAAUUACCCAAAUUCCACUAACCAGGCAAAACUGCUAUUAGUAUUUUGAUGUAUUACUUUACAGCCA